This 301-nucleotide ribosomal RNA is filed under the name uncultured bacterium. RNAcentral describes it as "partial 16S ribosomal RNA". It matches the Rfam family "Bacterial small subunit ribosomal RNA", at positions 509 to 809 of the family's 1533-position model. The record is from RNAcentral.
CAGCAGCCGCGGUAAUACGGAGGGUGCAAGCGUUAAUCGGAAUUACUGGGCGUAAAGCGCACGCAGGCGGUUUGUUAAGUCAGAUGUGAAAUCCCCGAGCUUAACUUGGGAACUGCAUUUGAAACUGGCAAGCUAGAGUCUUGUAGAGGGGGGUAGAAUUCCAGGUGUAGCGGUGAAAUGCGUAGAGAUCUGGAGGAAUACCGGUGGCGAAGGCGGCCCCCUGGACAAAGACUGACGCUCAGGUGCGAAAGCGUGGGGAGCAAACAGGAUUAGAUACCCCUGUAGUCCCUGUCUCUUAUAU